RNAcentral lists this ribosomal RNA (497 nucleotides) under uncultured bacterium. RNAcentral describes it as "partial 16S ribosomal RNA". It matches the Rfam family "Bacterial small subunit ribosomal RNA", at positions 28 to 507 of the family's 1533-position model. The record is from RNAcentral.
GAUGAACGCUGGCGGCGUGCCUAAUACAUGCAAGUCGAGCGAACAGACGAGGAGCUUGCUCCUUUGACGUUAGCGGCGGACGGGUGAGUAACACGUGGAUAACCUACCUAUAAGACUGGGAUAACUUCGGGAAACCGGAGCUAAUACCGGAUAAUAUUUUGAACCGCAUGGUUCGAUAGUGAAAGAUGGCUUUGCUAUCACUUAUAGAUGGAUCUGCGCCGCAUUAGCUAUUUGGUAAGGUAACGGCUUACCAAGGCAACGAUACGUAGCCGACCUGAGAGGGUGAUAGGCCACACUGGAACUGAGACACGGUCCAGACUCCUACGGGAGGCAGCAGUAGGGAAUCGUCCGCAAUGGGAGAAAGCCUGACGGAGCAACGCCGCGUGAGUGAUGAAGGUCUUCGGAUCGUAAAACUCUGUUAUUAGGGAAGAACAAAUGUGUAAGUAACUGUGCACGUCUUGACGGUACCUAAUCAGAAAGCCACGGCUAACUACGUG